Molecule: RNA transcript, 1775 nt
Organism: Sapajus apella (tufted capuchin)
Lineage: Eukaryota; Metazoa; Chordata; Mammalia; Primates; Cebidae
Gene name: 39S ribosomal protein L30, mitochondrial pseudogene
Exons: 1
Source: RefSeq, a predicted model, not a curated record
AUGACAGGGAUUUUGCUCUCAGUAGUUCAGAGGCAAAAUGAACUACAGACUGGGACAAAAGGUGUGAAAUCUCUCAUUGGUAAAAUCACAAAUUUGCCAGGUAAAGAAUUCCAUAUAAAGUGUUUCAGCCUUCACUUGCAGAUCAUGAAAAAUAUGAUGGAGAUCCGCAGAAUACUCAUAAACUGUAUAUUGUUAUCACAAUAAAAAAAUACAAAAAGCUGUCCAUAUUGGGAAAAAGAUAUAAUACAGAUGCUCAGAUUAGAAAACACAUAUACUCCUCAAGUUCACAAGCAUAUCUCUUCAGUGAAUGCAAAACUGACAGUGGUUAAAUAGUUGCUAAGAAUCAAGCCCCUGAAGUUGCCACAAGGACUGCCAAUUGAGGAGGACAUGUCUAAGCUCUGCCUCCAGAGCACUGGGGAAUUAAUGCAGUGGCACAGUGGCAUCUGAAAUCUGUGGAGCAGAAAGCAGUUAAGUCCUAAUGCCUGAGGAGCUUCAGAUUUAAAAAUGGAAAUUGUUUUUUUAUUUAAAGAUGAUGAGAAAGUGUUUCAUUAAAAUAUAUUUUAAAUAUAUUAAAAAAAAAAAAAGAAAGUGGGCGAAAGAAGGAAGUAAAGAAUUGAGAUUGGUCAUUAGAGAAUAACUUCCUGACAACAAAAACUGAGACAUAGAACACAUUAUCAAAGAACAUUAUGUUGGAUAAACUGAAGAAAAUACAACCUUGUGAAUGGCUGUCAACACAAAUAGUGUCAACAUACACACAAGAUGGGGAAGUACAAAUAUACUCUACUUGGCUCAGCCCCACUUAUAAUUUAAAAUAGAAAAAUAAAAAAAGGAAAGUGGUAAAAUAAGCUUGACAGUACCAGUCAGGGGAUUGCACUACAAUUCUGCCAGCUUAAAUACAAGUUAGCUAAAUGCUAACCCUAGCUGAGAGCAGUGCUUCAUGCCUGUAAUGCCAGAACUUUGGGAGGCCAAAGUGGGAGAAUCACUUGAGCCCAGGAUUUUGAGACCAGCCAAGGCAAAACAGUGUGAGUUCAUCGCUACAAAAUAUAAAAAAAUUAGCCAGGUGUGGUGGCAUGUUCCUACAGUACCAGCUGCUCAGAAGGGUGAGGUGGGAAGACAGCUUGAGCAUGGGAUGUUGAGGUUGCAGUGACCCAUGACUGCACUACUGCUCUCCAGCCUGGGUGACAGUGAGACCUUGUCUAAAAAAAAAAGCUAAUCCAAAUAUUUGUAUAACAUUUUUCAAAGAAUCUAUCAAGGCACAGGUACUAUUUUGUAAUUUCCUUCAAUUCACUAUGCAUUAAGAUACAGCAUCUCUAUUUUCUCUAUACAUUCAUAUUCAUAAGAGAACAAGUAUCCUAGUCUACACUCAACACUGGUCAUCACAAAUGUACUGGUAAGAUAAAAUCCAUAGCUUGUUAGUUUCUUAAAUAUGUGUUGGGAGAACUCUGAAUGAAAGACACCACAAAGAUAACUUCCUUUUGAGAUUAAAAACAAAAACAAAAAACCACACACACACAUACGCAACUCUGGCAGAACUGUUAGACCUGGGAAAGUCAUCUGUCUCAUGCCUGCUCACCUUUUCUCUCACUCAGAUGAAAUGCUCCCACAGGCAAAGAUCCAAAGCUGAUUGCCUCAGGAAGCUGCAGAGUCAACAUUUUCAUUUACCCCUUUUCAGUGUUUGCUGAGUUUUGAUGUGAACUUUUACUAAUCCAUAAAGAAUGGGAAAUCUAAACAUUUCUGGUAGUAACAGAAUUCUCUCACUCUCAUUAUUAAAAAGA